Molecule: ribosomal RNA, 376 nt
Filed under: uncultured bacterium
Lineage: Bacteria
Description: bacterial SSU rRNA
Rfam family: Bacterial small subunit ribosomal RNA
Source: RNAcentral
UAAUACGGAGGGGGCGAGCGUUAUUCGGAAUUAUUGGGCGUAAAGGGCGCGUAGGCGGCUUGGCAAGUCAAAGGUGAAAUCCCUCGGCUCAACUGAGGAACUGCCUUUGAAACUGCCUGGCUUGAGGCCGGGAGGGGGUAGCGGAAUUCCCAGUGUAGCGGUGAAAUGCGUAGAUAUUGGGAGGAACACCAGUGGCGAAGGCGGCUACCUGGACCGGUUCUGACGCUGAUGCGCGAAAGCGUGGGUAGCAAACAGGAUUAGAUACCCUGGUAGUCCACGCUGUAAACGAUGGGUGCUCGGUGUCGCGGGUAUCGACCCCUGCGGUGCCUUAGCUAACGCGUUAAGCACCCCGCCUGGGGAGUACGGUCGCAAGGCU